RNAcentral lists this ribosomal RNA (912 nucleotides) under uncultured archaeon. Its description in RNAcentral is "bacterial SSU rRNA". It matches the Rfam family "Archaeal small subunit ribosomal RNA", at positions 1 to 922 of the family's 1478-position model. The record is from RNAcentral.
UUCCGGUUGAUCCUGCCGGACCCGACUGCUAUCAGAGUGGGACUAAGCCAUGCGAGUCAACAUAGCAAUAUGUGGCAUACGGCUCAGUAACACGUAGUCAACAUGCCCAGGGGACGUGGAUAACCUCGGGAAACUGAGGAUAAACCGCGAUAGGUCAUCACUUCUGGAAUGGGUAAUGACUUAAACCUAUAUGGCCCCUGGAUUGGACUGCGGCCGAUCAGGCUGUUGGUGAGGUAAUGGCCCACCAAACCUGUAACCGGUACGGGCUCUGAGAGGAGGAGCCCGGAGAUGGGCACUGAGACAAGGGCCCAGGCCCUAUGGGGCGCAGCAGGCGCGAAACCUCUGCAAUAGGCGAAAGCUUGACAGGGUUACUCUGAGUGAUCUCCGCUAAGGAAAUCUUUUGACACCUCUAAAAAUAGUGUAGAAUAAGGGGUGGGCAAGUCUGGUGUCAGCCGCCGCGGUAAUACCAGCACCCCGAGUGGUCGGGACGAUUAUUGGGCCUAAAGCAUCCGUAGCCGGUUCCUUAAGUCCUCCGUUAAAUCCACCUGCUUAACAGAUGGGCUGCGGAGGAUACUAUAGAGCUAGGAGGCGGGAGAGGCAAGCGGUACUCAGUGGGUAGGGGUAAAAUCCGUUGAUCCAUUGAAGACCACCAGUGGCGAAGGCGGCUUGCCAGAACGCGCUCGACGGUGAGGGAUGAAAGCUGGGGGAGCAAACCGGAUUAGAUACCCGGGUAGUCCCAGCUGUAAACGAUGCAGACUCGGUGAUGGGUUGGCUUUGAGCCAACCCAGUGCCGCAGGGAAGCCGUUAAGUCUGCCGCCUGGGGAGUACGGUCGCGAGACUGAAACUUAAAGGAAUUGGCGGGGGAGCACCACAAGGGGUGAAGCCUGCGGUUCAAUUGGAUUCAACGCCGGA